This 3567-nucleotide long non-coding RNA is filed under the name Octopus vulgaris (common octopus). The record is from RNAcentral. Lineage: Eukaryota; Metazoa; Mollusca; Cephalopoda; Octopoda; Octopodidae.
AGUCUAUGGGGAAAGCAAGAUGAAUUCAAGACCAGUAAACCAGAAUGAUUCAUAUAAUGAAUUAAAUGUAGAAAAUAUUCAAAAGUUAAAAGUUGCCUACAAAGAAAAGGUAAAUCCCAUUUUUGCUUUACUACUGGAACUAUUUGUAAUUUUCUUUUUCCUUUUUAAAUAUCAGAUAUAUGUCAUAAAUGUGUUAGAUCAAACUCACAUAAAUGUGCGAGUCUUAAAUUCAUUGAUAUAGAAUAGGCAUAUAAUCUAGAUUGUUGUUCUCUAGUUUUGAGGUGUAAGUUGAUCAAUGAAAAGACAGCUUACUGAUUGAUAUAUUUUCAAUAAUAGUUUAAUUGAUAAUUUCUUCCUAUGGUAAAUGACACUUAUGUGAAGUCAUCCAUUUUGUCUAGCUUUCCAGAAAUCAGUAAUGAUUAUUGUAUAGAAGUAUAGAUUGAAUAUUUUGUACUUUUUAAUUAUUUAAAGUAAUUUUAAUAAAAAUUAAAAUAAAUUGAUAUUGGGUUGUGGGCAAAAGCAUUUCGUACCUUACUACCUGUAGUUGGUCUGUAACUCAGAGUAAAAGACAGUUGGUAAUUCUUGACAGUACCUUCUGUUAAUCCCUUCCUUCUCAGAUUUUCUAUUUCAUAGCUAAUUACUAACAAGCCUUACAAAUUCCCCUUGCUUAACAGCUUAACACUUUCGAAUGAAAAGUUGCCCCAGGUGGCAUUUUCCAUUAGAUAGGUCUUUAAAGGGACCAUAAAUACAUACUGUCAGGCAGAUAAUGAGGUAGAUGUCAGCUUUAGAUGGCUUUCAACUAGCAAUAACUAUGCCUCUGAUAACCCUCACUGGCCAUGGCACCACCUCUGUGACAUAUAUUUAGGAUAAUUGAAAGGAAAUAUGAACAAAUAUUAACAAAAUAAAUAAAUCAAUAAAAUAAGCUAUUAAAAUGUUUGCCAAAAAAAAAACCCACUUUUAAAAUCAGCUCCAAUCACAGUAAUUUGGAGAAAUAUUUUUUUGAGAGUUGUAGCUAGAAUAUCACUAAGUAACACCUAGUAACUGCAAAUAGACAGGUGGGAGAUUUUCAUUAGUGGUGGAUAGUGUUAAAACAAGGUUUAAUACUCUUACUCUCUUUUACUUGUUUCAGUCAUUUGACUGCGGCCAUGCUGGAGCACCGCCUUUAGUUGAGCAAAUCGACCCCGGGACUUAUUCUUUUUAAGCCCAGUACUUAUUCUAUCGGUUUCUUUUGCCGAACCGCUAAGUGACGGGGAUGUAAACACACUAGCAUCGGUUGUCAAGCAAUGCUAGGGGGGACAAACACAUACACACACAUACAUAUAUAUAUAUACAUAUAUACGACAGGCUUCUUUCAGUUUCCGUCUACCAAAUCCACUCACAUGGCAUUGGUCGGCCCGGGGCUAUAGCAGAAGACACUUGCCCAAGAUUCCACGCAGUGGGACUGAACCCGGAACCAUGUGGUUGGUUAGCAAGCUACUUAUUACACAGCCACUCCUGCGCCUAUGUUUACAGAAUGAAAAUUUUGCUGGAAUCAUGUUGAUUGAUGACUAAAGAAUAGGAUAGUUCCAUGUACUUGGAGCCAUGAUGCAUUUCUACAACUAAAGAAAAUAUAAAGAAUUUAUUGAAUAAAGAAAUACUUUGCAUUCCUAUACAAUUAACAAACCAUUAAUUGGCCUGUAUGUGGAAAGAUUUUCUUUAUAGUAAUGUCUCUGUAUUUGAAAUAUAGCUGUAUAAUGUCUAGGAGGAUAUAAUGUGAUAUAAAUUAUUUUCAUAUUUGAUUUUAAACCCAUCAGCUUUUCUGAAAAGUCAGUAUAGAAUUUGCAAAAAAUCUGGCAGUUAGACAACCAUUUAGCGUUUAAACUGGCCAUAUCUGGCCCAAACACUGUUUUAUGCUGAAACUGGCCAGAUCUGGCCUAUUACACCUACUCUACAAUGUCCUGAAAAUAAGCAAUCACAUCUUCAAAAUCUUGAAGCUAGGAGAUGAUGCACGAUUAGUUCAAAACCAUGAACAGAUAAACUUAUUUGACAGAGUAAUCUGAAUGCUAAAGGUUUAAAGAACAAUUCUAUAACUGUUUGUCUGUUAUGAGAAGUUUUUUUUUUUGUUAUAGUAAUGAUGAUACAAAAGUCAGAUAAGCUAUUGGAGAGAAAUAAAGUGGAAUUUGAGUGUCAGGAAAGAGCAGUUUUUUUUAAGUGGAUUUUCUGAAAAACAUUCUAGUGUUCUACAAGAGAAGGUGUCUUUUAAUGAAAUUUAAUCAAAAAAUUUCUUUUAUAUCCACCAUUUUCAAAAUAAGUUGUUUUACAUAUGUUAAUCAAUUCUCUCUCCUAAACAAGUUUUGCUUCAUUUAGUAUUUUAUUAAAGUUAAGUGACAGGAGUUGGUUGUAAAAUAUUGUAAUGGUUUUCACAAGUUUUGGAAAAAUUUUAUAAGUGUUCUAUAAGAAUAAGUUUGCGAAAUAUGAGUUAGGAAGUUAAUGAAGAAUCUCUGGAAGAGUGAAAAUGAAGUAGGCUGAGGAGAAAUAAAUGUACUACAUUGCAGUUAUGGAAGAGUUGUGAAUUUUUAAAAAUCAGUAAGAUUUUAUAUCUUUAGGGCAGUGGUUCCCAACCAUUUUUUGCCUUUGGAUCCCUUUGAUUCUUAUUUUACUCUACAGGACCUCCAUAGGAAUUGUAUAAAAAAUUAAAACAUUUUCUAUAUUGUAGAAGUAUAAGCAAUUUAUUAUGCAUAAAUUUUAACAACAAAAUCUUAUAUGGACUGCCAAAGGCCAGAUUGUUUCAGAGGAAAGAAUUUUACUAGAUGUAUUCAAUGAAAAAUUUCAUACACUACUAUAGCUAAAUAAAUAAACUGAACCAGAACAGAUUACUUGUAGGUAUUGUAUGCAAACAUCUAGUAUUGAUAUGGUUUAGGCUGCAGUAGGAGUCUUCCUUGGGAAUAAAACAGAUCACAAGGUAAAAUUGCAUGUACUCAAAUUACCUUUUGACUAAUUGUUCAAUAACAAACCUGUUAACCUUUAGUCACUGAUAUUAAACAACUAGUUUAUUUCAGUUAAGCUCACUUGAUUGAUCAGAAUAAAAAUUGACAGGGGAGCUAAUUAUUUUUGAAUAUAUCUCAUGUUUUAGUAUCAAAAUAGUUUCUUAUUUGCUUUUCCCUGAUCUAUAUUUACCCCUUUUAUCUGAUAUUUAGAACACAAAGGAAUUACAUAACUUCAAACUAUUGGUAAUACCUUUAAUACUUGUAAACAUCAGAUAAAAACCAAUGUUUUAUUGAUGAUGCAUAAAAUAGUUUCAAAAUAAUUGCACUUUUAACUUUUUUUUUCUGUUUGCAUUUUAGAUUGACAAGCUAAAUAGCUUUGAUAACGAAGCUUAUGCAGAGUUGGCUCAGCAUUUAUCUGAUCUAGAUUGGUACGCUUACAAAAAUGAAAAUUCUUCCAUCAUAGACAACCUUUUCACUGGUCAGUUACUAGAAGCAUAUAAUUGUAGCCGGAAAGGACAUCUAUCAAUUCAGCCACAGACAUUUGCUGUUUUACCAAUCCCACUUGGAGAAUCAUUAUCAGAAUCUAAUAUAUAUCUUGAAG